CAAUAGCGUAUAUUAAAGUUGUUGCGGUUAAAAGCUCGUAGUUGGAUUUCUGUCGAAGGCGGCCGGUCCGCACUAUGUGCGUGUAUCUGGUUCGGUUUUGGCAUCCUCUUGGGGAACGUUUCUGUGCUUGAUUGCAUGGGGCGGGAUUCAAGACUUUUACUUUGAGGAAAUUAGAGUGUUCACGGCAAGCUAUCGCUUUGAAUACAUUAGCAUGGAAUAAUAAUAUAGGGCGUAAGUUCUAUUUUGUUGGUUUCUAGGACAUACGCAAUGAUUAAUAGGGACAAUUGGGGGCAGUUCGUAUUAACGCAGUCAGAGGUGGAAUUCUUAGGAUUGGCAUGUUAUCGAUCGAACUUACUGCGAAAAGCAUUUGCCAGGAUGAUUUUCAUUUGAUCCAAAGGAACGAAAGUUUAUGGGGAUCA
RNAcentral lists this ribosomal RNA (419 nucleotides) under uncultured eukaryote. Its description in RNAcentral is "bacterial SSU rRNA". It matches the Rfam family "Eukaryotic small subunit ribosomal RNA", at positions 592 to 1010 of the family's 1831-position model. The record is from RNAcentral.